Molecule: long non-coding RNA, 543 nt
Organism: Cyprinus carpio (common carp)
Lineage: Eukaryota; Metazoa; Chordata; Actinopteri; Cypriniformes; Cyprinidae
Source: RefSeq, a predicted model, not a curated record
UGUUUUCCACAUGUAGGUGAAAAACACUUCACUUUGUUCCCUGCUGAAAGUGUGCCAAAUGAACUUUGAACUGCUGCUAAGGAACAAUAGACAAUAAUGUUAAGAGAAAACGUCUGUACACCAGGAUUAAAUCACUGAAAGUAUGUUUAUACUUGUGUAUUUGAUAUCAUUUUUGACAGUUAUCAAUGCAGAAUCUGUCCUCCUGUGAUCAGAUCUUCAUCCACAGGCUGACCAUCUCUGGACAGGGUCAGGUUUAUGUGACGGGGGUAAAAACCAGUGGCUAGACAGCUGAUCUGAAGCCCCUGAGAGUCUGUAAGAGGCUUCCUGAAGAGUCUGACUUUGGGUUUCACUUUGGAAAGGAAUGUUAGAAACAGUUGACAGUAAUGGGUCAAAAUUUAUAUAUGGAAUGCCCGCAAAGUCUUUAUGCAAACAGGAUGAUAAACAUGUUCAUACAGAAACUUCACAUGAAGCCAUUCCAUCUGACCCAUGCCUUUUAUUCUCAUCCAUGGUAAAUUAAUUUGCAUAGUUCUUUUUACCACAUCA